CGGGAUGUAGGGUAGCGGCGAACCCGUGUGUUUUGGGAACACAAGAUCGCAGGUUCGAGUCCUGCCAUCCCGA
This 73-nucleotide transfer RNA is filed under the name Planctomycetota bacterium. RNAcentral's name for it is "tRNA-Pro". It matches the Rfam family "tRNA". From Rfam's summary of the family: Transfer RNA (tRNA) molecules are approximately 80 nucleotides in length. Their secondary structure includes four short double-helical elements and three loops (D, anti-codon, and T loops). Lineage: Bacteria; Pseudomonadati; Planctomycetota. The record is from RNAcentral.